GAUGAAGAACGCAGCGAAAUGCGAUAAGUAAUGUGAAUUGCAGAAUUCAGUGAAUCAUCGAAUCUUUGAACGCACAUUGCGCCCGCCAGUAUUCUGGCGGGCAUGCCUGUUCGAGCGUCAUUACAACCCUCAAGCCCCCCGGCUUGGUGUUGGGGACCGGCCACCGGUGCCCUGCUGCUUCCGCGGCAGGUGCGCCCGGCCGCCCCCGAAAUGAAUUGGCGGCCCCGUCGCGGCCUCCCUCUGCGUAGUAGCACACAUCUCGCAGCUGGAGCGCGGCGCGGCCACUGCCGUAAAACGCACCAACUUUUUUUUACAGUUGACCUCGAAUCAGGUAGGAAUACCCGCUGAACUUAAGCAUAUCAAUAAGCGGAGGA
Molecule: unclassified non-coding RNA, 374 nt
Filed under: soil metagenome
Description: partial contains 5.8S ribosomal RNA, internal transcribed spacer 2, and large subunit ribosomal RNA
Rfam family: 5.8S ribosomal RNA (bases 1-120)
Source: RNAcentral